RNAcentral lists this ribosomal RNA (253 nucleotides) under uncultured bacterium. RNAcentral describes it as "partial 16S ribosomal RNA". It matches the Rfam family "Bacterial small subunit ribosomal RNA", at positions 524 to 776 of the family's 1533-position model. The record is from RNAcentral.
UACGAAGGGGGCUAGCGUUGCUCGGAAUUACUGGGCGUAAAGGGCGCGUAGGCGGCACUGUUAGUCAGGCGUGAAAGUCCUGGGCUCAACCUGGGAACUGCGCUUGAUACGGCAGAGCUAGAGGAUGGAAGAGGCUCGCGGAAUUCCCAGUGUAGAGGUGAAAUUCGUAGAUAUUGGGAAGAACACCGGUGGCGAAGGCGGCUCUCUAGUACGGUACUGACGCUGAGACGCGAAAGCGUGGGGAGCGAACAGG